Molecule: long non-coding RNA, 1841 nt
Filed under: Xyrichtys novacula (pearly razorfish)
Lineage: Eukaryota; Metazoa; Chordata; Actinopteri; Labriformes; Labridae
Source: RNAcentral
AAAAAAGAAAGAAAAAAAGAAAAAAGAAAAAAGAAAGAAAAAAGAAAGAAAGAACGGACCUCGGUCCUUGUGCAAAGCUUCCACUGGUCCUGUCCCAGGCCGAUCUUGAAGAGGGUCGCGGCAACACCCAUGUCCCGUUCCAAGCCUCGCUGUGUAAGUAGGAAACCACACUGACAACAUAGAUAGGCCAUUAGCAUGCCCUCAAAACAACGUACAAAACUUUUAUAGUCUGAAUGAUUUUAAUUACAGAAAUAUGUUUAUGAAUUUGUCUUUUUUAAUUUUAAUUUUCUUUAACAUUAAUUUAUUUCAAAGAUGUGAAACCUUCCCCUGGAAAAAUAAUUUCUGCAGACUUCAGAUUUUAUAAUUUGUUGGUUUUUCUGUCUCAGGUCCGAGUGUAGCAGUACAGCCUCGUCCAGAACCAGGAUAAGUCCACUCCUAGGCUGUUAAUGAGGAAGGUCCCGCCGAUGGACGGCCCUCCACGUUUCUUCUCCCCCACUCUCCCCCUGUCCUCUCCCCUCUACCCUCUUCUCUCCACAUUCCUCCCCAACCCAGCAGCGGCAUGGUGGCUGUCUAACAUGAGGCUGGUCCUGCCCAAGGUUUCUGCCUGUUAAAAGGAAGUUUUUCCUUGCCACUGCUACUCAUGUUAGUUGAGAUGGGCCAAAACCCAUCUUAGGUUGGUUCUUGAUCAUCAAACAAUGAGCGUGGUCUAGACCUGCUCUUGUUCCUUGAAAAGCGUCUUGAGAUGAAGACUGUUGUGAAUUGGUAUGGAGCCAGAUCAGGCUCCAUAAAUUGGUGCUAUAUAAAUAAAAUUUGAUUUGAAUUGAUUUUUAUCAGAGCAAUUUCUGAGUUACAUGAAUGAUCCUGAUCCUGUGUCUUCUGCCACUCAGCAAAAACAUAAAAAGAAAGAAAAAAAGAAAGAAAGACCUUUUAAUCGUGUUUGAUUUAUUAACAGUAUUGUGUGAAGGAAAAAAAAAGUCUUUUUAGGGAUGCCGCAGGAUUUCAUGGUUUUAUUCAUGCUGAUAUGACUGAAUGUUGAUAAAAGCAGUGAUGGAUUCUUAUAUCCGAGCUAAAAAAUAUCAAUCCUGCUGAGUUUUCCUGGUUUUCCCUCAGGCUGUUUUUCACUGGAAUUGGUUCACAGCCUGGUCUCUGUACAUUUUGUUGCCUAUUUUGGAGGCUUGUUGUUAGCUGGAAUAGGUGUGCUGAUACAAAAUUGUUUGGUAAAUCACUUUCUAAGUAACUGCACAAUUAUAAUUUAGAAAAAUAAGAGUAAAGUGGGAAAUUUAUGUAAAAUCUUCAUAUUACUUGACUGAAUUAAAUGUUAUUUUUAUGCAGCUGACAUCCUUAUUCACAUAUCUGUAUGCAAGUGGAGUUAUAAAUCAGUUCUAUGUCAUGCCAACAUCACUGUAGGAUAAGAUUCAUUCUAAUCUUAUAUCAUAAGUCUCAGUCUUAUCUUAAUGUACCAUAAGCAGAGCACCUUUCAGCAUUUAGAAAGUUAGAGUGGCACAGAAGAAACCCUCUCACUAAGAAGGCAGAAAACCUGGAGCAGACCAUGACCCCUGCUAAAAAGCCAUAAGAUAGAGACAAAAACGAAGGAGAAAUGGUUCAAAGUUCCUCAGCAUCCCUGGGUCUACCAGAGAGUUAUCUUGAACACAUAGAGUUAAGUCAAUUGUUUUUCUGAUCGGAGCAGCUGGUCCAGCUCAAAGGACACUGGGACACACAGGUGAUUGUACACAGGUGCUUUAAGGUAAUCUGAAAUUGGCCCAGUAAGCUGCUGAGGUUGUUAAAACUACAACCUUUUUCUCCAUGUGCACGGUGUAUGUAGAAGUUACAACUGUAAUUGU